AGAGAGAAAGAGAGAACACGGGUAAACUGGCAGGAGCGGUGAACUGAAGACAACUAUAUUCUAAGGAAUAUACUGGACAGGAACUCUAUUGAUCAUGCACACUAGCCUUCACAAUGCUCCUGAUUAUAAAAAACAUGAAUUAGCAUUGACAACACCCUAAUGCCCUUCAUACACGACCUAACGUACACGGCUAUCACACGGCAGAGGUCCUUAACCCAAAAUGGUGUGGAGGAAACGUAUUCUAAGCAAACAUAACCCCUGUCAGAUUAUCCAUUUGUCCUGUUGGUUAUGAACAAUACAUUUCACUGUGAUGUUAUGGUAAUGUCAUGUUCAGCUCUCUGUCGGAUUAACACCAUUAACUCCCUGUCUUUCAAAGACUUCCAGUACAUUUUAGGUAUGCAAGUGCUGAGUGUUCUUAUAUAGUUUUCCACUACUACUUAGUGCUGUCUAAAACUCAGUCAUAACUGUGUGUCUUCACUCUUAGCCUCGGUAAAGGGCAGCCCUGUGGUCCUGCCUGCUCUGCUCUGGUCUGGUCUGGUCUCCAUUAGAGUCUGUGGUGAAGGCUGAGACAGGACUCCCAGACUGGAAGACUGUGGAUGUCGGACAACAUCUGAGAUGGGCAGCUUGCAGAGCACAAUUGUACACACACACACACACACACACACACACACACACACACACACACACACACACACGCUGAUACAUAUCCAGACACACACACACACACACACACACACACACACAAUUAACCACAGAGACAUGGCAGUCAGAUGCAAAAACCCAUGCACACACCCCACUCAUGCAUUCAAAGAGAGCACUGGCAUGAGAGUCCAGCUCUACCCACAACACUGUACUUUCAUUGCAAAUCUGACCGCGCCGCACCCAUUACAGCCCCAAUAAAAGAUGCAGAUCUCAGACAGACAUGAAAUCUCACUGGAGUCCCAUUCACAAAUAACCAACGCUUUAACUGCAAAAACAUCCCCUCCUAAACCAGCCUCUUUCCUGUUAUUGUGACAUAUGUUGCCACAGGCCGUGUACUGGUGCCAGCGUGGUGGCAUUGACAUGGGUUUCGUCGGCAGAAAAGGAAUAAUCCUUACAACACUAUUGAAAACAGCCUCGGAUGCAACCAUAUGUUACAGACAGAACCCAAUCUUAAUGCCAGGCGCGAGGCAUUAAGCCACAGGGACUCAGCACACACAAUAGCAGCACCUGCUCCACUGAGCAGCAGCACAAAAGGCAGGCUUCAGCCAAACUCAUACAUUAAGGACUUAACUACAGGCCUCAGUACAGUUUUACGGCUGUUGGGGGUUUAAGAGGACAGGGCUGUGGAUAUCUUAGAACAGAAAGGCGAUAUACGUACACGUUUUAACUCAAGUACCUGGAUGUACAGUACAGUACUGUAAAGUAUUUCUAAAUCUGGAAUUCUCAAAAAUGGUUCUAUUCUUUGUAGGGUUCCGGAAACAAUAUGGCUGCGACUGCAACACAGCUGUUUAUGAAAGAGUGAGGUGAGCGAGAGGAGGUGCAUGACUGGGAUGCCGAGGUGUAGAGGACAUGAAGGAGCUAAAUGGAGAAGGAGCUGCAAGGAGGCGAGCGCACGUCAAAUACAUGCCCUCUCUGCUGUUUUAUGGUCACGAGCUGGAAGGCUGCACAGCGCGUCCUCUGGUGCUAAUCAAAUCAAGGUAACAGGAUUUGGGGUUGGUUGCGAUGGUUGGAGGGUGGCGGGUAUAAUAAACGAGGAAGCUGGCAUCCUGAUACAUUUUGGAACUAAGAAAGCUUUUCCGUCAGCGCUGGCAAACACCGCUGCCGGACAGGCGUGCGAUUAGAACCCAGCGAGCCCACAACAAGUCCCCAGGAGACAAAAAAAACAAACUUCCCUUCAGCGUGUUGGUGUUGCGCAACGGUUGUUUGGAGCUGCGCCGCCCCUUUAAACGAACUGAGUGCAUUGUUCUGGGGAGGAGGGAGUAGGUAAUGGCCGAGUAGCAAUACUGAGAUGGGUGUGUGUUGGCGGUGUGCAAUAAAAACAAGUGAUGUAAAAGGGAAACGCUCAAGAUUAACUUCCUCCCUGAUGACAUGGGCCAACGCAGCCAGAUCCUGACCCCUGAAAAAUGACAUGGUACAAAUGCCUCAAAUGGAUGAAGAGGACAGUCGUAAGGAAAAUGUCCAAACGUCACUGAAGACCUAAUGGACUUGGUAAACAGAACCACUAAAACAAAACACUGAAACUACUCAAGACACUGACAACACACACACAAACACAGGUGACACGGGCACAAACGAACACAGACGACUCACACCGAGGCGUGAGGUCCAGAGCUUGUCCUUACCCAUUGCAGCAGCGGACGCUCUGUUGAGGCGGGUGGAGGCGCUCCUCUGCAGGGGGCUGUGGGUCGGCUUGGCCAGCGCAGGAGUCUUCAGGCCUAGUCACACAGGUGAAACGCCUUAACAGAGGACAGGAAAUAACACUCUAUGUGCAGGGUCCCUGUUCUAAACUCAGGGCCUGGGUGCACUUCACCCAGUCCAUCCCAGUCCUUUAGGCCUUUUACAAAGGGCUUAGUGGUCGGACGCUGUCACCAGUGGAUCUCCACAUACCUUUAAAUAUGGGUGGUUGUAUUGUGAUGUAGGCAUGAGGGUGUGUUUCCUUGGAGGGUGGGGUAUUCUCCACUACAUCUAUUAACAUCCCACCCACUCAUUCUACUCAAUCUAUUCUAGAUUUAGAUACUUAUUAAGAUUUCAGAUUAGGUCAUGUUAUCUACAUUUCUGUGUCACUUAUUGUGGGAACUGAAUGUCCGUACUACUUUUUCCAAAACCUUUCCAUUACUUCUUGAUUCAAGAGUCUGUCUGGUAAGACAGCGAAUCUGAUCAUAAUAGAUCAGAAUUUUAGGUUGUAUCUGUGAAAACCAACUAAAAAAAAAUCACACGCUUUUGCCAUAUGGUCCAUUCUUCAAGAGAGACCAUUCUAGAUAAAAGUAAUGUGUGUACCCCAUCACUGACUAUUGAACAAAUCCUUAGGGAAUCAAUUACCCAUGCGGGAGUACGGUAAACAAAGACAUGCCUGAAAAACACAUGCUUGCCAUUAUAACAGCUGCUAUAAAAACUCUGAUGAAAUGCAAUGCAUAACAAAAGAUUACGUUUGGCUCUGAGACAGAGGUAUAAAAGUUAAGAGCCCAUUGCACAGCUAUCUGGCAUUAAUCACACAGGUUCUCCCUUACAGGCUGGGAACAGGCCUAUUACACAACCCCGGGCUAAACCCAUCAGUGGAGCAAUCAGAGGGUGAAUGUCUCAUGAACACAUUAAAGGGCUGCCAUUAACCACUGCAUUGAUUAGAGAGGUUGCUACAUGGAAGACACAUGCUCAAAGGAGGUUUCAAUUGAACAAUGGGCUUUUUCUAUUGCGCUUAAGAAGUAUUAAGAUAUUACAAUAUCAUACUUGAAAUCAUUAGUAUUAAUCUCGUUUAACUCCACAAGGAAAGUUUUCAAUGUGAAAUCCUUUCCAUGUGGUGUAAAAUAUCUGCAAAAAGAGCCACGCGAGACAAAUCUUACCAAAGAUCAGUCAGUCAGUCGCUCUUAAGGUCAUGAUGUAUUUGCAUGUCUGUACCUCUGUGUAUGUGUGCAUCUGUGCAUGCCUGUGUGGGAGUGGGAGUGCCUGCUUACUGUGGACAUUUCACACCCACCUAUUAUUGAGCUUUUGCCAGGAAUGGAGGUGGUCCUGUUUCGCAUGCCCACGAGUUUGGUGGCGAGGGGCUUGUUUGGGACCGGCGGGCCCACUGAGGAUGCAGGGCGACUGGGCUUCUCAUCUGGGUGUGUGAUCUUAGCUCCUGGAGCAGAGUUUGGAGCUGUGG
Molecule: long non-coding RNA, 3838 nt
Organism: Clupea harengus (Atlantic herring)
Lineage: Eukaryota; Metazoa; Chordata; Actinopteri; Clupeiformes; Clupeidae
Source: Ensembl